This 209-nucleotide long non-coding RNA is filed under the name Mytilus galloprovincialis (Mediterranean mussel). The record is from RNAcentral. Lineage: Eukaryota; Metazoa; Mollusca; Bivalvia; Mytilida; Mytilidae.
GUCUCAUUGGCACUCAUACCACAUAUUCCUAUAUCUAUUGACACAUCUGUGUCAUCUCUGCUAUCGUUCACUAAAAUAUCGUAAUUUGAGCUUUAUUGACCAGCAAAAGGUUGUAAUUUAGGUUGUAUUGGUCGGUCCGAAAUCGCUGCUUGAUCAGGAUUCGUUUCUAUCAGAGCUCCCUCUGCCUCUACAUCAACCCCUACCACCAC